GAUGAACGCUGGCGGCGUGCCUAAUACAUGCAAGUCGAGCGAAUGGAUUAAGAGCUUGCUCUUAUGAAGUUAGCGGCGGACGGGUGAGUAACACGUGGGUAACCUGCCCAUAAGACUGGGAUAACUCCAGGAAACCGGGGCUAAUACCGGAUAACAUGUUGAACCGCAUGGUUCGAAAUUGAAAGGCGGCUUCGGCUGUCACUUAUGGAUGGACCCGAGUGGCAUUAGCUAGUUGGUGAGGUAACGGCUCACCAAGGCGACGAUGCGUAGCCGACCUGAGAGGGUGAUCGGCCACACUGGGACUGAGACACGGCCCAGACUCCUACGGGAGGCAGCAGUAAGGAAUCUUCCGCAAUGGACGAAAGUCUGACGGAGCAACGCCGCGUGAGUGAUGAAGGCUUUCGGGUCGUAAAACUCUGUUGUUAGGGAAGAACAAGUGCUAGUUGAAUAAGCUGGCACCUUGACGGUACCUAACCAGAAAGCCACGGCUAACUACGUGCCAGCCGCCGCAGUAA
This 515-nucleotide ribosomal RNA is filed under the name uncultured bacterium. RNAcentral describes it as "partial 16S ribosomal RNA". It matches the Rfam family "Bacterial small subunit ribosomal RNA", at positions 28 to 523 of the family's 1533-position model. The record is from RNAcentral.